AGAACGAACGCUGGCGGCAGGCCUAAUACAUGCAAGUCGAACGCCGUAGCAAUACGGAGUGGCAGACGGGUGAGUAACACGUGGGAACGUGCCCAAAGGUACGGAACAACUCCGGGAAACUGGAGCUAAUACCGUAUGUGCCCGAGAGGGGAAAGAUUUAUCGCCUUUGGAUCGGCCCGCGUCUGAUUAGCUAGUUGGCGGGGUAAUGGCCCACCAAGGCGACGAUCAGUAGCUGGUCUGAGAGGAUGACCAGCCACACUGGGACUGAGACACGGCCCAGACUCCUACGGGAGGCAGCAGUAGGGAAUAUUGGACAAUGGGCGAAAGCCUGAUCCAGCCAUGCCGCGUGAGUGAUGAAGGCCUUAGGGUUGUAAAGCUCUUUCGCCAGGGACGAUAAUGACGGUACCUGGAUAAGAAGCCCCGGCUAACUUCGUGCCAGCAGCCGC
RNAcentral lists this ribosomal RNA (446 nucleotides) under uncultured bacterium. Its description in RNAcentral is "SSU rRNA". It matches the Rfam family "Bacterial small subunit ribosomal RNA", at positions 26 to 518 of the family's 1533-position model. The record is from RNAcentral.